UGCGAAGGGGGCUAGCGUUGCUCGGAAUUACUGGGCGUAAAGCGCACGUAGGCGGCUUUGUAAGUUAGAGGUGAAAGCCCAGGGCUUAACCCUGGAAUUGCCUUUAAGACUGCAUCGCUAGAAUCGUGGAGAGGUGAGUGGAAUUCCGAGUGUAGAGGUGAAAUUCGUAGAUAUUCGGAAGAACACCAGUGGCGAAGGCGACUCACUGGACACGUAUUGACGCUGAGGUGCGAAAGCGUGGGGAGCAAACAGG
RNAcentral lists this ribosomal RNA (253 nucleotides) under uncultured bacterium. Its description in RNAcentral is "partial 16S ribosomal RNA". It matches the Rfam family "Bacterial small subunit ribosomal RNA", at positions 524 to 776 of the family's 1533-position model. The record is from RNAcentral.